ACGUGCAAUCACGUUGCAGCUCUCCGCAUCCACCGCACAGUUGACAGAUUUAAUUCGUGAUAAUUUUUCAUAUUCAUCAAACGACAGGAAGAGUUGCUCGCAUCACCGAUUGAUAGAGUUCCUAGAUCAUCAAAAAAUUCAAUCUGACAUGAUUUUAUCCAAAAAUAAUGAGAGACCGGUUUUAGAGGCAGCUGUGGCCCACCGAAUGAUCUCUCCAAAGUGCCUUUGGAGAUGGCUUUUGCAACGUCCAACACAUUCACACACAUAUCAAAUACUGGCCAGGGAUGUAACAGCUGUUGGCUCGCACAGUUAAUCCAUCACGUAGAAGUGUACGACGGUGUGGUAGCAACACGAGAAGAAAAAGCGAUUGAGUCGAGAAAGAGAAGUAGAAGAAUGAGAGGGCGGAGAUGACGACUGAAGCGAGAGAAAGACCUGGUGGCUUUCUGACGACAUUGCUUGAGGAAAUAAUCCACUAGUAUUAAUCCAUCAUGUGAACUAUGUUGGGGAGAAGUGGGAGGAAUACCUUAUAAGACAUUCACUCAUCAAUUGGAAUCAUCCACUGGGAGAAUUUAAAUUACUACUUUAUCACCAAGUGUAUCGUGCUCCAACGACGAAUUAAUCCCAAUGAUUUUAUCCCCAGGAGUUGAGAUAUCACCAGCAACAAAUUAGUUUUCUGAUAUUAUGUCAAUAUUUCUCUCAGCACGAUAUCUAGUUACGAUCGAAUGAAAAUAAACGUAACUAUUGAUUAUCCUUAUAUUCCCAGUGAUUCGUAAAAAGUGUCGGCAAAGUUUACUCAACAAUUACCGUGCAAUCGCAACAAUUCCACCAUCGUCAACCAGUGAGAAAAAUAAAAAAAAUAUUGAGAGGCAAAACACAAAUGAAACUAAAAACAAGGUCAUCAUGAAGACUCGUCUUUGUUACCCGAGAAGGCAUUACAGCAAUCAACUUUAAUGGAAGCAAUAAAAUGCAGGUGGCAGUGGCACGCAUUCUCAACUGUAUCCUCACCAAAGUACCCACGAGUUGUAGAAAAUACUUGGACAUUGGUGAUGAUACUUGUGUGAGUGAGGAAACAAGGGUUCAAUGGCGUCUCCCUGGAUCUAUCUGAAUCCAUUUUGAUGUUGCGCCGACGCUUUAUCACAACGCGAGAGCUUUUAUUUACUUCUCCCCAACAUUUUCAUCCCGAAUGGGUGAAAGAAAAAAUAUUUGCAAAAUCUAUUUCAGUUCUCGCGAAUUUUAACCACUCAAUUUCUCUCUCUGUAUCGUAAUAAAUCUCAUCCCAGC
This is a long non-coding RNA of Diachasmimorpha longicaudata, 1281 nucleotides long. RefSeq lists it as uncharacterized. The record is from RefSeq and is a predicted model, not a curated record. The transcript is spliced from 2 exons. Lineage: Eukaryota; Metazoa; Arthropoda; Insecta; Hymenoptera; Braconidae.